This 206-nucleotide ribosomal RNA is filed under the name uncultured Eubacteriales bacterium. Its description in RNAcentral is "uncultured Clostridiales bacterium partial 16S ribosomal RNA". It matches the Rfam family "Bacterial small subunit ribosomal RNA", at positions 568 to 774 of the family's 1533-position model. Lineage: Bacteria; Bacillati; Bacillota; Clostridia; Eubacteriales. The record is from RNAcentral.
UGCGUAGGCGGUCUUGCAAGCCAGAGGUGAAAGGCUAUGGCUCAACCAUAGUGAGCCUUUGGAACUGCUGGACUUGAGUACAGGAGAGGAAAGUGGAAUUCCUAGUGUAGCGGUGAAAUGCGUAGAUAUUAGGAGGAACACCAGUGGCGAAGGCGACUUUCUGGACUGUUACUGACGCUGAGGCACGAAAGCGUGGGGAGCGAACA